UCGAACGGGCCUGAUUUCGGUCAGGCUAGUGGCGGACGGGUGAGUAACACGUGGGUGAUCUACCCCAAAGUCUGGGACAACUAGGGGAAACCUUAGCUAAUCCCGGAUGGUGAGGCUUCUCCUGUGAAGUCUCUAAAGAUUUAUCGCUUUGGGAUGAGCCCGCGGCGCAUCAGCUAGUUGGUGGGGUAAUGGCCUACCAAGGCGACGACGCGUAGCUGGUCUGAGAGGACGACCAGCCACAGGAGCACUGAGACACGGGCUCCACUCCUACGGGAGGCAGCAGUUAGGAAUCUUCGUCAAUGGGCGAAAGCCUGAACGAGCGACGCCGCUUGAGGGACGAAGCCCUUCGGGGUGUAAACCUCUGAACAGGGGACGAUGAUGACGGUACCCUGCUAAUAGCACCGGCUAACUCCGUGCCAGCAGCCGCGGUAAUACGGAGGGUGCGAGCGUUACCCGGAUUUACUGGGCGUAAAGGGCGUGUAGGCGGUUUUCUAAGUCCGGGGCUAAAGACCAGGGCUCAACCCUGGGUUUGCCUUGGAUACUGGAAAGCUCGACGGCUGG
This 561-nucleotide ribosomal RNA is filed under the name uncultured bacterium. RNAcentral's name for it is "bacterial SSU rRNA". It matches the Rfam family "Bacterial small subunit ribosomal RNA", at positions 62 to 652 of the family's 1533-position model. The record is from RNAcentral.